RNAcentral lists this unclassified non-coding RNA (456 nucleotides) under Hevea brasiliensis (rubber tree). The record is from RNAcentral. Lineage: Eukaryota; Viridiplantae; Streptophyta; Magnoliopsida; Malpighiales; Euphorbiaceae.
AGUUAAAAACCAUAAACAAAAGAAUAAAAAUAAACAAAAAGAAAAAAGAAGGUAAGAAGGCAUACCCCUGUAUAUUUGCCAUUCAAGGGAGAUGUUUUGGAGUAAUUGAUUAUGGAAAUGUUUAAACCAGUAACAUGUCUAGAUCAUACAGGUUGUAAUAUAUCUCAUUAAACCAUGAUAUUAAGACAAAGUGAAUGGUGGCUUUCAAUCAUAGCUCAUAGUUGACCUGUCUUCUUCCUGUUUUAUCUGCUUCUAUUUCUAGAAAUUUUGAUAUCUAGCUGUUCUUCAUUCCUGACAUUUAAUAGUAAAUGAUUUGGAUAUGUAGGCCUACAUACAAAGUGAUGUGGAAUACUUAUGAACAUACUUUUAUUAUUCUGUGAUUCAAUCUCUGUCUAUGAUCUUUCUGUCAUCUCUCUCACUCUCCUCACUAUUUAUUUUACAUUUUUAAUCCACCAA